AUGGCGGCACGUGCGGAAGGUUUAGGCGUGCCCCGCUGCUCUGGAAUGUUCAGAGAAGCGCUGAUGGCUGUUGCAACCAUGAGUCAGGAGAUGAUUGCCGUGAAAGUGAAUUACCUCAAGAACACAUUCAGGUGGUCAGAAGCUGAGGUGUCCAUUGCUGUUAGUCGUUCUCCGAUGGUGCUGGUGAGGUCUAAUAACAUGCUGCGGAGCAAAUCAGAGUUCCUUAUCUCUGAGGUGAGGUUGGAACCGGUAUACAUUGCUCAUCGACCAGUAAUUCUUGGGCUCAACCUGGAGGGCCGGCUCAGGCCCCGACACUAUGUUAUGAGAUUUCUUAAGGCAAAUGGAUUGCUAGACUGCGACAGGAGCUACUUUUCUGCCUUCAUGGUGACCGAGAAGGUAUUCGUGGAGAAGUACAUAUGCCCUUACAAGGAAGUUGCACCACACCUUGCUGAAGACUAUGCUGACGCUUGCAGAGGGCAAGUGCCAACUAGAUUUAGAAUUGCAUGA
Molecule: ribosomal RNA, 507 nt
Filed under: Triticum aestivum (bread wheat)
Lineage: Eukaryota; Viridiplantae; Streptophyta; Magnoliopsida; Poales; Poaceae
Description: partial small subunit ribosomal RNA
Source: RNAcentral